Long non-coding RNA from Bombus huntii, 350 nucleotides. RefSeq lists it as uncharacterized. NCBI's taxonomy places the organism in Eukaryota, Metazoa, Arthropoda, Insecta, Hymenoptera, Apidae. The transcript has 3 exons. The record is from RefSeq and is a predicted model, not a curated record.
GCAAGCUAUCGAUGUAAUCCAAGUAUCCCUGAAGAUUCUUGGUUUGUGGUACUUUGUAUCCACGAUAAAAUUCGAAGCCAGGUCGCAAUAGUACAUCGCAAAACCAAACUUUUAUGAUGUUUGUUAUUAUUUUGAAGUGUGAUCAUUUUGAAGAUUUUCUUGAUUGGGAACAACCACGUGCAACUCGAUGAUAUACUGAUACAUAUAGCAAAUAGUUGGCCACGAUACUCCCCGUUUUGGAUCCAUCUCAUCCAAAUGAUUCUGUAUAAACUGAACGGAAGCAGCAAAAUCAGCCUGAUUAAAUUCGUAUGGUACGUUCCAACCAAGAGGUCCGAAUUUCCUACGUUCUU